ACAUUUCUUUGAUAACAUCAGACGGUACAAUUCUAUGUUUGCCAUGACUUCUAUGGGCGUCAAUGUCAUAAAUUCUAUCAACGAUGGCCGUGGCCCUUAUGUCUUCAAAAUUAGUGGCCAACUAUGUCAUCGAAUAGGAUCACUAAUUCCAAACGAUGAAGCAAGACCUGAGUAUUGCCAGUUAUAUAUCUUUGACACUGAUAAUGAGGUUAGAAACAGAAUAGCUGUUGCAACAACCUCAAACAGUGACUUUCAACCAAACGAAGCUAUUGUUGCUUCCUUGAUAACCAUGCUUGAUACACACAACUCAGUUGUGCAAGUUUUUCGAACUGCCCGUGAUAGACUAUCUAUGCAGCCAAACAACCAAUCUGGUGAACCAGACGAUCGUUAUGCUGUCAAGCUAUUUUCCACCCCAACCCAGCAUGGCAACAUUUAUAGUGACCCAGUUACAUCUGAAGUGGUCGGCUUGGUUGUGAAUGAUUUAGGGACCACUGAAGAGGGGCGCGACCUAAUAGUGCAAGAUCACUCAUGUCAGCUCCAAAGAGUGAAAGAAACACAUUGCAAAUUUAUGGCAAUGCAAUAUCCACUGUUGUUUCCUUACGGAGAAGAUGGCUUCCAUGAGAAUAUUAAGUAUAGAAGAUGUAGUCGCUCCAACAAGAUCAAGCGAAAGGUUGUCACCAUGGCAGAAUAUUAUUCAUACAGAUUGCAUGAUAGAGCCGACGAUUUCAAUACCCCUUUGCGAUCCAAGAGACUAACCCAAGCUUAUGAAGUUGAUGCGUACUGUUGUGUCGAGGAUGACCGCCUGAGAUAUUACAGGAAGAAAUCAUUUCAAAAAAAAUACAGGUCCAGCCCAUAUAAAGCUUUAGUUGAAGCGGUCAGUAGUGGGAUCACUCAAGGUUCAGCUGCAGGGCAACGAAUUUACUUGCCAGGAUCAUUCACUGCAAGCCCCCGCUACUACUACCAAAACUAUCAAGAUUGUGUUGCACUAUGUCGUAGGUUCGGAUGCCCACAUCUAUUCAUCACAUUCACAUGUAAUGCUUUGUGGCCAGAAAUUGAUGAAGCUUUGGCAUUCAUACCAGGGCAACAGACUUCUGAUAGACCUGAUAUUGUUGACAGAGUUUUUGAAAUGAAACUCAAACUACUCAUACAAGAUAUAGAGAAGUAUGAAUUCUUUGGACCUAUACUUGGAGUUGUCUACACAAUUGAGUUCCAAAAACGAGGCCUUCCACAUGUCCAUUUGAUUCUAUGGCUUAAAAAAGAUAAGCCUAUUGAUGCUGCUCAAAUAGAUGCCUUUAUAUCCGCACAACUGCCAAAUCCAUCUGUUGAUCCGUUAGGUUUUGAGGCCGUUUCUAAGUUCAUGAUUCAUGGUCCUUGCGGAUCCUUAAAUACGUCCUCCCCUUGCAUGGUUGAUGGAAAAUGUGAUAAGUUCUAUCCAAAGAAUUUUUCUGAAACCGCUACUAUAGCAGGUAAUGGUCAGGUUACUUACGCCCGCCCAAAUAAUGGUAUUACUACUGAGAAAAAUGGAGUAAGAAUUGAUAACACAUUUGUGGUACCGCACAAUGUAGACUUAUUGGUUAAAUAUCAAGCACAUAUAAAUGUUGAAAGUGUUAAUCGCAAUGGAAUGGAAAAGUAUUUGUUCAAGUAUACAAACAAAGGACCUGAUUGUGCCAAAGCUGCACUCAAGAGAAAAAGAGGCAAUCCAGACUCUCCUACGGAGAUAAUUGAUGAAAUAAAGGAAUAUCUAGACUGCAGAUAUGUUACUCCCAACGAUGCUGCAUGGCGAUUGCUUCAGUUUGAUAUCCAUUACACUAAUCCAUCAGUAGAACGCCUUGCUGUUCAUCUCCCGCUACAAAAUGGUGUUCUUUAUACAGAGGAUGACUAUCUUGAUCAGGUCAUUGAGAAUCCAUCUAAUCUCAUAACUAAGCUAACGGCAUGGUUUGAUGCCAAUCAACAAUAUCCAGAAGCCAGACAGUACACCUAUGUUGAAUUUCCUGAACACUGGACAUGGCAUGGUGAUGGAAAAUAUUGGCAUAUACGCCGAAAUAGUCGUGGGAAGGUUGGUCGAAUUGCUAAUGUUGCUCCUAACGAAGGAGAAAGAUUUUACCUGCGCAUGUUGUUGCAUAUAGUCAAAGGAGCACAAAGCUAUUCUGAUCUCCGCACUGUUGCCGGCCAUAAGCACCCAACAUUUCGUGCUGCAUGUGAAGCAUUGGGCUUGCUGGGUGACGAUCAAGAAUGGUUCCAUGCUAUGGCUGAUGCAGCACACUGGGCACUUCCCUAUCAAUUGCGACAGCUGUUUGUCACAUUAUUGCUUUUUUGUGAAGUCACCAACCCUGUCAAAUUGCUUGAUGAGUACACAUAGGCAAUGGGAGAAGAUAUUGCAUAUCAUGCGAAACAACUGACUCCAGAACUCCCUACAACAACCAUGGACCAACAUAUCAGAUCAUAUGUCUUAGUUGAAUUAGAAAAACUGCUCAAAGAUGCUGGAUAUAGCUUAGAUCACUUUCACUUACCACAACCAGACCACAGUUCCUCUCGGAUUCUCACCAAUAGAUUCAUUAUGGAAGAACUUAGUUAUAAUUCAAAUGGUGCAUUUGCUGAACUAGAUGAGCAGAUCAAGAGACUGAAUUCAAGCCAGAAACAUAUUUAUGAUACCAUAGAGCAUUCAGUCUUAAAUGGUUGUGGGCACACUUUCUUUGUUUAUGGUUAUGGUGGGACUGGCAAGACUUUUCUAUGGAAUACUUUGCUCAAUAGUAUUAGAAGCCAAGGAAAGAUAGCUUUAGCAGUUGCAUCUUCAGGCAUAGCAGCUCUGUUACUCCCAGGAGGUCGAACACCCCACUCACGUUUCAGAAUUCCAUUGGACAUCCACGAGCAUUCUGUCUGUGCAAUUAAGAAAAAUACACAGUUGGCUGAGCUAAUACAACAGACAUCCCUGAUUAUAUGGGAUGAAGCACCUGUCAACCAUAGACAUUGCUUCGAAGCACUUGAUCGCACACUAAGAGAUAUCAUGUCGUUCAAUAAUGAUGAUGCUUCCACCAAACAAUUUGGUGGUAUAACAGUUGUGCUUGGUGGUGAUUUUAGGCAAACUUUGCCGGUCAUCCCAAACGCAAGGAAACAACAAAUCAUGAAUGCAGCAAUCACUCGAUCCCGUAUAUGGCCGUGCUGCAAAGUUCUUGAAUUAACUGAAAACAUGAGACUCAACUGCCCAACUCUUUCAGGCCCUGAAAGAAUUGAAUUGCAGAAAUUUGCUGAGUGGCUCCUCUCUAUUGGUGAUGGCACAACUCCUGGCAGUACAAUAGAUCAACCUGAUACAACAUGGGUUCCAAUUCCAGACAACCUUCUAUUGCCACCUGAACAAAGGAACCUUACAGGAUUGAUUUCUUUUGUAUAUGAAACAACUCCACGUGUCACGGAAUUAGCAGCCUAUCUCUGUGAACGAGCAAUAUUGGCACCAACAAAUGAAGUCGCUGCCAUGAUAAAUAAAGAGAUUAUUUGUAAGAUAGCCACAGAAGAAAUGUCAUACUACAGUUCUGAUUCCAUUGAUGAUCCGACAUCAAAUUAUUGCACUAUGGAAUCUCUGUACCCACAAGAGUUCCUUAACACUAUCCAAAUGAGUGGCCUUCCUGACCAUCAUCUACAACUGAAGAUUGGUGUCCCUAUCAUGUUACUUAGAAAUCUGAAUCCAUCCAAAGGUUUGUGCAAUGGAACUAGACUCAUAGUGACACAACUCACUCAUCGUAUAAUUGAAGCUCAGAUAAUCACAGGAAAGGCUACAGGAUCUAAAGCUUACAUUCCAAGAAUAACUUCUGUCUCAUGUGAUCCAAAAUGGCCUUUUAAGAUAAAGCGUCGUCAAUUCCCAGUCCGUGUAUCCUAUGCCAUGACAAUAAACAAAAGCCAAGGACAAACACUUAGCAAAGUUGGCGUCUAUUUACCAAGCCCCGUAUUCUCUCAUGGGCAGCUUUAUGUUGCAUUCUCACGUGUGACAUCACCUACAGGCUUACGUGUGCUCAUUGAGAACAACUCUGAGGGGUAUGAAAACCACACACAUAACGUGGUAUACACUGAGAUUUUCAAUGACCUAACAAGCCGGAGUAAUUAUUAGUUCCAGGUCUUCUACUUUUGGCUGUUUCCAUUCCAAACCACUUGAUCAUCUAUUCCUCCGUUGAUCAAUUAUAUUCUACCAAUAUGCUUAUAGCCAGUCUAACAUGUAUAUCCAAUUAGUUCAUAGGUGUUUCCAAUUCACUAUAUGACAUACUUUAGCCGUGUAUGUUUUUGUCAGUGCAACAACAAUGGAAAUAUGUCUCUUC
Panicum virgatum (switchgrass) is the source of this 4304-nucleotide RNA transcript. RefSeq lists it as uncharacterized. The record is from RefSeq and is a predicted model, not a curated record. Lineage: Eukaryota; Viridiplantae; Streptophyta; Magnoliopsida; Poales; Poaceae. The transcript is spliced from 3 exons.